GAUGAACGCUGGCGGCGUGCCUAAUACAUGCAAGUCGAGCGAACGGACGAGAAGCUUGCUUCUCUGAUGUUAGCGGCGGACGGGUGAGUAACACGUGGAUAACCUACCUAUAAGACUGGGAUAACUUCGGGAAACCGUAGCUAAUACCGGAUAAUAUUUUGAACCGCAUGGUUCAAAAGUGAAAGACGGUCUUGCUGUCACUUAUAGAUGGAUCCGCGCUGCAUUAGCUAGUUGGUAAGGUAACGGCUUACCAAGGCAACGAUGCAUAGCCGACCUGAGAGGGUGAUCGGCCACACUGGAACUGAGACACGGUCCAGACUCCUACGGGAGGCAGCAGUAGGGAAUCUGCCGCAAUGGGCGAAGGCCUGACGGAGCAACGCCGCGUAAGUGAUGAAGGUCUUCGGAUCGUAAAACUCUGUUAUUAGGGAAAAACAUAUUUGUAAGUAACUGUGCACAUCUUGACGGUACCUAAUCAGAAAGCCACGGCUAACUACGUG
RNAcentral lists this ribosomal RNA (497 nucleotides) under uncultured bacterium. Its description in RNAcentral is "partial 16S ribosomal RNA". It matches the Rfam family "Bacterial small subunit ribosomal RNA", at positions 28 to 507 of the family's 1533-position model. The record is from RNAcentral.